Molecule: long non-coding RNA, 539 nt
Filed under: Marmota monax (woodchuck)
Lineage: Eukaryota; Metazoa; Chordata; Mammalia; Rodentia; Sciuridae
Source: RNAcentral
GUUUUCGGCAGACACAACAUCUUUGUUUGUAUGUGGUGCUGAGGAUCGAACCCGGGCCGCAUGCAUGCCAGGCGAGCGCGCUACCGCUUGAGCCACAUCCCCAGCCCCAAAGGAAAACUUGUACCUGCAUCAGUUCACAUACUUAUAGGAAUCUAAUGGGUAGUGAUGGCUAAAUUCACCUUCUUUUUUAAAAUUUUUUUUUAGUUUUAGGUGAACACAAUAUCUUUAUUUUGUUUUUAUGUGGUGCUGAGGAUCGAACUCAGUGCCUCACCUGUGCUAGGCGAGCGCACUACUUCUGAGCCACAACCCCAGCCCCUGAAUUCACUUUCUUAAAGGUUGUACCAAUUUACAUUCCCACCAGCCGUGCACAAGGAAGUGUUUGUGGGAACUUGUCCUGGGGGCUGAUUAUAUGGGUGUAUUCAGCUUGUGAUAAUUCAUUGAGCCAUAUGUUUAUGUAUAUUUAUGCUUUGGGCACUUUUCUGUAUGUUAUACAUCAAUAUAACUUUUUAAAAAACUCAAUAAAAAUCUAAUUAAAAUUA